This 429-nucleotide ribosomal RNA is filed under the name Gemmatimonadota bacterium. RNAcentral's name for it is "Gemmatimonadetes bacterium partial 16S ribosomal RNA". It matches the Rfam family "Bacterial small subunit ribosomal RNA", at positions 355 to 776 of the family's 1533-position model. Lineage: Bacteria; Pseudomonadati; Gemmatimonadota. The record is from RNAcentral.
UAGGGAAUCUUCGGCAAUGGACGAAAGUCUGACCGAGCAACGCCGCGUGAGUGAAGAAGGUUUUCGGAUCGUAAAACUCUGUUGUUAGAGAAGAACAAGGACGUUAGUAACUGAACGUCCCAUGACGGUAUCUAACCAGAAAGCCACGGCUAACUACGUGCCAGCAGCCGCGGUAAUACGGAGGUGGCAAGCGUUGUCCGGAUUUAUUGGGCGUAAAGCGAGCGCAGGCGGUUCCUUAAGUCUGAUGUGAAAGCCCCCGUCUCAACCGGGGAGGGUCAUUGGUAACUGGGAGCCUGGAUUGCAUAAGAGGUGUGUUGUAUUCCAUGUGUAGCGGUGAAAUGCGUAGAUAUAUCCAGUAACUCCAGUGACGAAUGCGGCUCUCUGGUCUGUAACUGACGCUGAGGCUCGAAAGCGUGGUGAGCAAACAGU